AACGAACGCUGGCGGCAUGCCUAACACAUGCAAGUCGAACGAGACCUUCGGGUCUAGUGGCGCACGGGUGCGUAACGCGUGGGAACCUGCCCUUAGGUUCGGAAUAACUCCCCGAAAGGGGUGCUAAUACCGGAUAAUGUCUUCGGACCAAAGAUUUAUCGCCUUUGGUUGGGCCCGCGUUGGAUUAGCUAGUUGGUAGGGUAAAAGCCUACCAAGGCGACGAUCCACAGCUGGUCUGAGAGGAUGAUCAGCCACACUGGGACUGAGACACGGCCCAGACUCCUACGGGAGGCAGCAGUGGGGAAUAUUGGAAAGUGGGCGAAGGCCUGAUCCAGCAAUGCCGCGUGAGUGAUGAAGGCCUUAGGGUUGUAAUGCUCUUUUACCCGGGAUGAUAAUGACAGUACCGGGAGAAUAAGCUCCGGCUAACUCCGUG
Molecule: ribosomal RNA, 433 nt
Filed under: uncultured bacterium
Lineage: Bacteria
Description: partial 16S ribosomal RNA
Rfam family: Bacterial small subunit ribosomal RNA
Source: RNAcentral